Molecule: ribosomal RNA, 421 nt
Filed under: Escherichia coli
Lineage: Bacteria; Pseudomonadati; Pseudomonadota; Gammaproteobacteria; Enterobacterales; Enterobacteriaceae
Description: partial 23S ribosomal RNA
Rfam family: Bacterial large subunit ribosomal RNA
Source: RNAcentral
GGGGACGGAGAAGGCUAUGUUGGCCGGGCGACGGUUGUCCCGGUUUAAGCGUGUAGGCUGGUUUUCCAGGCAAAUCCGGAAAAUCAAGGCUGAGGCGUGAUGACGAGGCACUACGGUGCUGAAGCAACAAAUGCCCUGCUUCCAGGAAAAGCCUCUAAGCAUCAGGUAACAUCAAAUCGUACCCCAAACCGACACAGGUGGUCAGGUAGAGAAUACCAAGGCGCUUGAGAGAACUCGGGUGAAGGAACUAGGCAAAAUGGUGCCGUAACUUCGGGAGAAGGCACGCUGAUAUGUAGGUGAAGUCCCUCGCGGAUGGAGCUGAAAUCAGUCGAAGAUACCAGCUGGCUGCAACUGUUUAUUAAAAACACAGCACUGUGCAAACACGAAAGUGGACGUAUACGGUGUGACGCCUGCCCGGUGC